RNAcentral lists this ribosomal RNA (253 nucleotides) under uncultured bacterium. Its description in RNAcentral is "partial 16S ribosomal RNA". It matches the Rfam family "Bacterial small subunit ribosomal RNA", at positions 524 to 776 of the family's 1533-position model. The record is from RNAcentral.
UACGGAGGGGGCUAGCGUUGCUCGGAAUCACUGGGCGUAAAGGGUGCGUAGGCGGGUCUUUAAGUCAGGGGUGAAAUCCUGGAGCUCAACUCCAGAACUGCCUUUGAUACUGAGGAUCUUGAGUACGGGAGAGGUGAGUUGAACUGCGAGUGUAGAGGUGAAAUUCGUAGAUAUUCGCAAGAACACCAGUGGCGAAGGCGGCUCACUGGCCCGUAACUGACGCUGAGGCACGAAAGCGUGGGGAGCAAACAGG